UAGGCGUCGACCGGCGCACGGGUGAGUAACGCGUAUCCAACCUGCCCACCACUUGGGGAUAACCUUGCGAAAGUAAGACUAAUACCCAAUGAUAUCUCUAGAAGACAUCUGAAGGAGAUUAAAGAUUUAUCGGUGAUGGAUGGGGAUGCGUCUGAUUAGCUUGUUGGCGGGGUAACGGCCCACCAAGGCGACGAUCAGUAGGGGUUCUGAGAGGAAGGUCCCCCACAUUGGAACUGAGACACGGUCCAAACUCCUACGGGAGGCAGCAGUGAGGAAUAUUGGUCAAUGGGCGAGAGCCUGAACCAGCCAAGUAGCGUGCAGGAUGACGGCCCUAUGGGUUGUAAACUGCUUUUAUAAGGGAAUAAAGUGGGAGUCGUGACUCCUUUUGCAUGUACCUUAUGAAUAAGGACCGGCUAAUUCCGUGCCAGCAGCCGCGGUAAUACGGAAGGUCCGGGCGUUAUCCGGAUUUAUUGGGUUUAAAGGGAGCGUAGGCCGGAGAUUAAGCGUGUUGUGAAAUGUAGAUGCUCAACGUCUGCACUGCAGCGCGAACUGGUUUCCUUGAGUACGCACAAAGUGGGCGGAAUUCGUGGUGUAGCGGUGAAAUGCUUAGAUAUCACGAAGAACUCCGAUUGCGAAGGCAGCUCACUGGAGCGCAACUGACGCUGAAGCUCGAAAGUGCGGGUAUCGAACAGGAUUAGAUACCCUGGUAGUCCGCACGGUAAACGAUGGAUGCCCGCUGUUGGUCUGAAUAGGUCAGCGGCCAAGCGAAAGCAUUAAGCAUCCCACCUGGGGAGUACGCUGGCAACGGUGCAACUCAAAGGAAUUGACGG
RNAcentral lists this ribosomal RNA (830 nucleotides) under uncultured Bacteroidota bacterium. RNAcentral describes it as "bacterial SSU rRNA". It matches the Rfam family "Bacterial small subunit ribosomal RNA", at positions 85 to 916 of the family's 1533-position model. The record is from RNAcentral. Lineage: Bacteria; Pseudomonadati; Bacteroidota.